CGGAGGGAUCAUUACACAAAUAUGAAGGCGGGCUGGAAUCUCUCGGGGUUACAGCCUUGCUGAAUUAUUCACCCUUGUCUUUUGCGUACUUCUUGUUUCCUUGGUGGGUUCGCCCACCACUAGGACAAACAUAAACCUUUUGUAAUUGCAAUCAGCGUCAGUAACAAAUUAAUAAUUACAACUUUCAACAACGGAUCUCUUGGUUCUGGCAUCGAUGAAGAACGCAGCGAAAUGCGAUAAGUAGUGUGAAUUGCAGAAUUCAGUGAAUCAUCGAAUCUUUGAACGCACAUUGCGCCCUUUGGUAUUCCAAAGGGCAUGCCUGUUCGAGCGUCAUUUGUACCCUCAAGCUUUGCUUGGUGUUGGGCGUCUUGUCUCUAGCUUUGCUGGAGACUCGCCUUAAAGUAAUUGGCAGCCGGCCUACUGGUUUCGGAGCGCAGCACAAGUCGCACUCUCUAUCAGCAAAGGUCUAGCAUCCAUUAAGCCUUUUUUCAACUUUUGACCUCGGAUCAGGUAGGGAUACCCGCUGAACUU
Molecule: ribosomal RNA, 531 nt
Filed under: Alternaria alternata
Lineage: Eukaryota; Fungi; Ascomycota; Dothideomycetes; Pleosporales; Pleosporaceae
Description: eukaryotic LSU rRNA
Rfam family: 5.8S ribosomal RNA (bases 180-333)
Source: RNAcentral